This 460-nucleotide ribosomal RNA is filed under the name uncultured bacterium. RNAcentral describes it as "bacterial SSU rRNA". It matches the Rfam family "Bacterial small subunit ribosomal RNA", at positions 337 to 794 of the family's 1533-position model. The record is from RNAcentral.
UCCUACGGGAGGCAGCAGUGAGGAAUAUUGGACAAUGGGCGCAAGCCUGAUCCAGCCAUGCCGCGUGCAGGAUGAAGCAUCUAUGGUGUGUAAACUGCUUUUAUACGGGAAGAAACCCUGGGACGUGUCCCAGACUGACGGUACCGUAGGAAUAAGGAUCGGCUAACUCCGUGCCAGCAGCCGCGGUAAUACGGAGGAUCCAAGCGUUAUCCGGAAUCAUUGGGUUUAAAGGGUCCGUAGGCGGCCCUGUAAGUCAGUGGUGAAAUCUCCCGGCUCAACCGGGAAAUUGCCAUUGAUACUGCAGGGCUUGAAUUAUUGGGAAGUAACUAGAAUAUGUAGUGUAGCGGUGAAAUGCUUAGAUAUUACAUGGAAUACCGAUUGCGAAGGCAGGUUACUACCAAUACAUUGACGCUGAUGGACGAAAGCGUGGGUAGCGAACAGGAUUAGAUACCCUGGUAGA